This 76-nucleotide transfer RNA is filed under the name Crocinitomix sp. Its description in RNAcentral is "tRNA-Lys". It matches the Rfam family "tRNA". From Rfam's summary of the family: Transfer RNA (tRNA) molecules are approximately 80 nucleotides in length. Their secondary structure includes four short double-helical elements and three loops (D, anti-codon, and T loops). The record is from RNAcentral. Lineage: Bacteria; Pseudomonadati; Bacteroidota; Flavobacteriia; Flavobacteriales; Crocinitomicaceae. RNAcentral also lists the same sequence under 1 other name.
GAUCUGUUAGCUCAGCUGGUAGAGCAUCUCCCUUUUAAGGAGAGGGUCCAGGGUUCGAGCCCCUGACAGAUCACCA